RNAcentral lists this small RNA (68 nucleotides) under Xanthomonas nasturtii. RNAcentral's name for it is "sX9 sRNA". It matches the Rfam family "Xanthomonas sRNA sX9". Lineage: Bacteria; Pseudomonadati; Pseudomonadota; Gammaproteobacteria; Lysobacterales; Lysobacteraceae. The record is from RNAcentral.
ACGUAUACGCUUCGGUUCCUGUGCGCCGUCCACACCGUCUGACGACUGCUCGCCAGGUGUUGUUGCCC